This 257-nucleotide ribosomal RNA is filed under the name uncultured bacterium. RNAcentral describes it as "partial 16S ribosomal RNA". It matches the Rfam family "Bacterial small subunit ribosomal RNA", at positions 793 to 1055 of the family's 1533-position model. The record is from RNAcentral.
GUCCACGCCGUAAACGAUGGAUACUAGCUGUUCGGUAGCAAUACUGAGUGGCUAAGCGAAAGUGAUAAGUAUCCCACCUGGGGAGUACGAACGCAAGUUUGAAACUCAAAGGAAUUGACGGGGGCCCGCACAAGCGGUGGAGCAUGUGGUUUAAUUCGAUGAUACGCGAGGAACCUUACCAAGGCUUAAAUGUAGAUUGACAGGACUGGAAACAGUUUUUUCUUCGGACAAUUUACAAGGUGCUGCAUGGUUGUCGU